GACCUCGGAUCAGGUAGGGAUACCCGCUGAACUUAAGCAUAUCAAUAAGCGGAGGAAAAGAAACCAACAGGGAUUGCCUCAGUAACGGCGAGUGAAGCGGCAACAGCUCAAAUUUGAAAUCUGGCCUUAAGCGGGGUCCGAAUUGUAAUUUGCAGAGGGCGUUUCGGGCGACGCGCCGGUCUAAGUCCCUUGGAACGGGGCGUCAUGGAGGGUGAGAAUCCCGUAUGUGACCGGCGACCGAGCCUGUGUGAAACCCCUUCGACGAGUCGAGUUGUUUGGGAAUGCAGCUCAAAGCGGGUGGUAAAUUUCAUCUAAAGCUAAAUACCGGCCAGAGACCGAUAGCGCACAAGUAGAGUGAUCGAAAGAUGAAAAGCACUUUGGAAAGAGAGUCAAAAAGUACGUGAAAUUGUUGAAAGGGAAGCGCUUGCAACCAGAUCUGCCCGCGGGUGAUCAGCUGUCCUUCGGGGCGGUGCACUCACCCGCGAUCAGGCCAGCAUCGGUUCGGGCGGCCGGAUAAAGGCCUUGGGAACGUGGCUCCCCUCGGGGAGCGUUAUAGCCCAGGGUGCAAUGCGGCCCGCCCGGACCGAGGACCGCGCUUCGGCUAGGAUGCUGGCGUAAUGGUUGUAAGCGGCCCGUCUUGAAACACGGACCAAGGAGUCGACCAACCGUGCGAGUGUUUGGGCGUCAAACCCACACGCGCAAUGAAAGUGAACGGAGGUGGGAACCCCUCGCGGGGCGCACCAUCGACCGAUCCAGAUGUCUUCGGAUGGAUUUGAGUACGAGCAUGGCUGGUCGGACCCGAAAGAUGGUGAACUAUGCCUGGAUAGGGUGAAGCCAGAGGAAACUCUGGUGGAGGCUCGCAGCGGUUCUGACGUGCAAAUCGAUCGUCAAAUUUGGGCAUAGGGGCGAAAGACUAAUCGAACCAUCUAGUAGCUGGUUCCAGCCGAAGUUC
RNAcentral lists this ribosomal RNA (952 nucleotides) under Xanthoria parietina. RNAcentral describes it as "partial large subunit ribosomal RNA". It matches the Rfam family "Eukaryotic large subunit ribosomal RNA", at positions 1 to 969 of the family's 3401-position model. Lineage: Eukaryota; Fungi; Ascomycota; Lecanoromycetes; Teloschistales; Teloschistaceae. The record is from RNAcentral.